RNAcentral lists this transfer RNA (85 nucleotides) under Methylacidiphilales bacterium. RNAcentral describes it as "Candidatus Methylacidiphilales bacterium tRNA-Leu". It matches the Rfam family "tRNA". From Rfam's summary of the family: Transfer RNA (tRNA) molecules are approximately 80 nucleotides in length. Lineage: Bacteria; Pseudomonadati; Verrucomicrobiota; Methylacidiphilae; Methylacidiphilales. The record is from RNAcentral.
GCCCGAGUGAUGGAAUGGCAGACAUACAGGACUUAAAAUCCUGAGAGGGGAAACCCUCGUGCGGGUUCGACUCCCGCCUCGGGCA